This 467-nucleotide ribosomal RNA is filed under the name uncultured bacterium. RNAcentral describes it as "partial 16S ribosomal RNA". It matches the Rfam family "Bacterial small subunit ribosomal RNA", at positions 28 to 507 of the family's 1533-position model. The record is from RNAcentral.
GACGAACGCUGGCGGCGUGCUUAACACAUGCAAGUCGAACGGAAAGGCCCUGCUUUUGUGGGGUGCUCGAGUGGCGAACGGGUGAGUAACACGUGAGUAACCUGCCCUUGACUUUGGGAUAACUUCAGGAAACUGGGGCUAAUACCGGAUAGGAGCUCCUGCUGCAUGGUGGGGUUGGAAAGUUUCGGCGGUUGGGGAUGGACUCGCGGCUUAUCAGCUUGUUGGUGGGGUAGUGGUUUACCAAGGCUUUGACGGGUAGCCGGCCUGAGAGGGUGACCGGCCACAUUGGGACUGAGAUACGGCCCAGACUCCUACGGGAGGCAGCAGUGGGGAAUAUUGCACAAUGGGCGGAAGCCUGAUGCAGCAACGCCGCGUGCGGGAUGACGGCCUUCGGGUUGUAAACCGCUUUCGCCUGUGACGAAGCGUGAGUGACGGUAAUGGGUAAAGAAGCACCGGCUAACUACGUG